RNAcentral lists this ribosomal RNA (253 nucleotides) under uncultured bacterium. RNAcentral's name for it is "partial 16S ribosomal RNA". It matches the Rfam family "Bacterial small subunit ribosomal RNA", at positions 524 to 776 of the family's 1533-position model. The record is from RNAcentral.
UACGGAGGGUGCAAGCGUUGUUCGGAAUCACUGGGCGUAAAGGGCGUGUAGGCGGUCCGCUAAGUCUGAUGUGAAAGCCCGGGGCUCACCCCCGGAAGGGCAUUGGAAACUGGCGGACUCGAGUCCCGGAGAGGAAGGUGGAAUUCCUGGUGUAGCGGUGAAAUGCGUAGAUAUCAGGAGGAAUACCGGUGGCGAAGGCGGCCUUCUGGACGGUGACUGACGCUGAGACGCGACAGCGUGGGGAGCAAACAGG